UCUCCGUUGGUGAACCAGCGGAGGGAUCAUUACCGAGUGCAAACUCAUAACCCUUUGUGAACCUAUAUCUGUUGCUUCGGCGGCUCGCUCUCGGGCGAGCCCGCCGGUAAUAUCAGUAUUUCUGUUUGAACCCGACGAUACUUCUGAGUGUUCUUAGCGAACAGUUAAAACUUUUAACAACGGAUCUCUUGGCUCUA
Molecule: unclassified non-coding RNA, 197 nt
Filed under: plant metagenome
Description: partial contains small subunit ribosomal RNA, internal transcribed spacer 1, and 5.8S ribosomal RNA
Source: RNAcentral